GGAAAUACCUGGGGAAGCGGGA
RNAcentral lists this non-coding RNA (22 nucleotides) under Rattus norvegicus (Norway rat). Lineage: Eukaryota; Metazoa; Chordata; Mammalia; Rodentia; Muridae. The record is from RNAcentral.